UACGUAGGGUGCGAGCGUUAAUCGGAAUUACUGGGCGUAAAGCGUGCGCAGGCGGUGAUGUAAGACAGAUGUGAAAUCCCCGGGCUCAACCUGGGAACUGCAUUUGUGACUGCAUCGCUGGAGUGCGGCAGAGGGGGAUGGAAUUCCGCGUGUAGCAGUGAAAUGCGUAGAUAUGUGGAGGAACACCGAUGGCGAAGGCAAUCCCCUGGGCCUGCACUGACGCUCAUGCACGAAAGCGUGGGGAGCAAACAGG
This 253-nucleotide ribosomal RNA is filed under the name uncultured bacterium. RNAcentral's name for it is "partial 16S ribosomal RNA". It matches the Rfam family "Bacterial small subunit ribosomal RNA", at positions 524 to 776 of the family's 1533-position model. The record is from RNAcentral.